This 253-nucleotide ribosomal RNA is filed under the name uncultured bacterium. RNAcentral's name for it is "partial 16S ribosomal RNA". It matches the Rfam family "Bacterial small subunit ribosomal RNA", at positions 524 to 776 of the family's 1533-position model. The record is from RNAcentral.
UACGGGGGGGGCAAGCGUUGUUCGGAAUUACUGGGCGUAAAGGGCUCGUAGGUGGCCAACUAAGUCAGACGUGAAAUCCCUCAGCUUAACUGGGGAACUGCGUCUGAUACUGGAUGGCUUGAGUUCGGGAGAGGGAUGCGGAAUUCCAGGUGUAGCGGUGAAAUGCGUAGAUAUCUGGAGGAACACCGGUGGCGAAGGCGGCAUCCUGGACCAAUUCUGACGCUGAGGAGCGAAAGCCAGGGGAGCAAACGGG